GGGCCUUACUGAAUUAUAGUUAUGAUGAUAGACAACCUUUCUCUGGUUUGUUGAUAGCAUGAAAUAAACACAGCCUAAAAGAUCUAAUUUUUGGGAAAUUUACUAACAUAGCCUGGAAGUUUUUUCUAAUUGUUUGUUUGAGCUGCCACUUUAAUGUUCAUUUUAAUUUCCAUGUAGGUAGAUUCGGCUUUGGUGCUCCUUCGAAACAUAAUUUCACAUGUGAGUGCUUAAACGUGUAUCCAUUUAGACUCUGUUCUCACACUUCAUUUGCAUUAUCCUUUUUUCUAAGCAAUUAUGUGAUGCCUUCUAUAAUCGAUUCCAUUUACAAAAAUGUACAUGCUUUUAUUCUGAAAGUGUUUUUAUGGCACCUAUUCUUCUUCCAGGAUUUAAUAAACGCAUGUGUCAUCAUACCUCAAGAUAUGUGUGAUCUUAGGUUAUUUAAAAGAAUGCCAUCAGUGUAAGUGCAUUUUACUUUGAUUACAUGUCAGUGGAAACAAAUUCCUUUUAAUUCUCCAUGCUUCCUUUUGUGCUUUCAGGUUUCUAAUGCCCAUUGCAUCAUAACCUUGAGUCUUUUGGUUUCCUAGUGGUUUUUGGCUCUCUCUCUCUAUCUCCAACCACUUAUAUAGUCUUUUGCUUAUUUUUCUUCCUUCCCAUCGUUGUCCACUUGUCCUGCAAGAAAGGGAUUUUUUUAUAAAAAAUGAACAGUUCGUAAUUAUUUUUAUUGGGGUGGGGAGAGUUCUUUUCUUGUGCUAAAAUGUUAUUUCUAAUAGAUGCUUCAUAACACUUCCAUUGUGUGUGUACUUAAAACUGUGUUUCCAUCUACACUAUAAGAAUUAGCUUAUUAUAAAGGUAUUCUUUUGGUUCCUUUUUUAAAUUCCUCAGAUUCCAUUCUGCCGCUUAAAAAAAAAAAACAUUGAUAAUAAUCUAUCAAUUUUGUAAUACAUUGACAUUCAAGUUGGAUUUUUAUAAUGUUAUCAUGGCCUAAUGGGAUUCCAGAAAUUGAUUACUAGUAACUAAUUAUGAUGUCAUAUUUAUGGGAUUCAAAUUUUCUUUAUGCUUGAGCCCCUGAAAUUUUCUGUAAAAGCAUGAAUCCGUGAGCCAUUGGAUUCAUCUUUUUAAAUGCAUCGGGCACUCUUGGAGUCCGUGGGAUCUAGUGGAUCUACUGGGCCUGAAGCUGUUUGCUGCUGCAGAAAAGAAUGCGGUUUUAUGGAUAGCAAGAGCUGGUUCCAGGAAUCCAUCUGCAAUUCCCUCAAUAUACCGUGUUUCAGUUGCCCUUUCAAUAUCCUGCUGGUGAGUUUUGGGUCAAUAUUAAACUGGGAAGACAAAAACAUUUGCUAAAAUGCAACUAUCCAGGUGCUCAAAUUGGACCAGAGCCUACAAAAUAGAUUCAUUGUUGUUAUGAGUUUUAGGUCAUGGAAUCUUGCAUAAGUAAUUUCCUCUGAAACGAUUUGUUCCCAAACGACUUGGUCCCUCCUCCUACUUUUUGUGGAAGUUCACAUCACGCACAUCCACUGCAAGAGAAACCACUGCACGGAUCCUUUGGCGAAAGGACAUUGUUCCCAUUUUGAUUUUGUUAUUCACCCCCAUCCACGGCAUGUAUUAUACAUGUACCAACUUAUGGCAUACUCUUGGGGUAUUAUUUACCCCCGCCUUUGUAAUCCUUGUUAGUUUUUAA
Molecule: long non-coding RNA, 1675 nt
Organism: Quercus lobata
Lineage: Eukaryota; Viridiplantae; Streptophyta; Magnoliopsida; Fagales; Fagaceae
Exons: 4
Source: RefSeq, a predicted model, not a curated record